GAUGAACGCUGGCGGCGUGCCUAAUACAUGCAAGUCGAGCGAACGGACGAGAAGCUUGCUUCUCUGAUGUUAGCGGCGGACGGGUGAGUAACACGUGGAUAACCUACCUAUAAGACUGGGAUAACUUCGGGAAACCGGAGCUAAUACCGGAUAAUAUUUUGAACCGCAUGGUUCAAAAGUGAAAGACGGUCUUGCUGUCACUUAUAGAUGGAUCCGCGCUGCAUUAGCUAGUUGGUAAGGUAACGGCUUACCAAGGCAACGAUGCAUAGCCGACCUGAGAGGGUGAUCGGCCACACUGGAACUGAGACACGGUCCAGACUCCUACGGGAGGCAGCAGUAGGGAAUCUUCCGCAAAGGGCGAAAGCAUGACGGAGCAACGCCGCGUGAGUGAUGAAGGUCUUCGGAUCGUAAAACUCUGUUAUUAGGGAAGAACAAAUGUGUAAGUAACUGUGCACAUCUUGACGGUACCUAAUCAGAAAGCCACGGCUAACUACGUG
RNAcentral lists this ribosomal RNA (497 nucleotides) under uncultured bacterium. RNAcentral's name for it is "partial 16S ribosomal RNA". It matches the Rfam family "Bacterial small subunit ribosomal RNA", at positions 28 to 507 of the family's 1533-position model. The record is from RNAcentral.